ACCGCUGUAGCUUAAUGGAAAAGCUCCAUAACUGGAGGUUCGAUUCCUUCCGGCGGUC
This 58-nucleotide transfer RNA is filed under the name Phytophthora megakarya. It matches the Rfam family "tRNA". Rfam says of the family: Transfer RNA (tRNA) molecules are approximately 80 nucleotides in length. The record is from Rfam by way of RNAcentral. Lineage: Eukaryota; Oomycota; Peronosporomycetes; Peronosporales; Peronosporaceae.